UCGCUUUGAAACAGCAAAGCGGGAGAAGAGCCACUGAGUGGGGAGGAGAGAGGGACAGAGAGCCUGCUUGCUUUAAAGGAGCAAAGCGGGAGAGGAGAGGUUGGCUCCUUUAAAGCAAGCAGGCUCUCUGUCCCUCUCUCCUCCCCACACAGCUUGCUACAUAGCAGCAAAGUU
Non-coding RNA from Podarcis lilfordi (Lilford's wall lizard), 174 nucleotides. Lineage: Eukaryota; Metazoa; Chordata; Lepidosauria; Squamata; Lacertidae. The record is from the annotation of a GenBank genome assembly.